This 1660-nucleotide long non-coding RNA is filed under the name Mus musculus (house mouse). RNAcentral describes it as "predicted gene, 48166". The record is from RNAcentral. Lineage: Eukaryota; Metazoa; Chordata; Mammalia; Rodentia; Muridae.
UUUUUUUUUUUUUUGAGACAAGUUUCUCUGUGUAGCUCUGGCAGUCCUGGGUCUCAUUCUGUAGACUAGGCUGGCCUGGAACUCAGAGAUCCCCCUUCCUCUGCCUCUUGAGUGCUAGGAUUACCAACGUGCACCACCACUGCCCAGCUAACCAAUCCAGUUUUAUUAGCUGAUUCUCAGCCACUGAAUAUUUUAGCUAGUUCUGCAUAUUGUACUCAAGCUGUUGUUUUAGAAACUGUAGGACUUAAACCCAACCCCACUACUAAUGUUAUUCCAUAAUGAUUUAUCUAGCUUCAGAUGUCUGUAAGACAAUGACCUCAGGUUUUCCUAACUCAGUAUGUUCAUUCUUAUCUGGCAGGUACCUUAACAUCCACUAAUGCUCCAGUUGAUGUGCUUGCCUCCUCACCACCAAUACUUUCCAGGCCACUCAAAAAUCUCAUGAACUUCUUCACUUCUUGUUCUUUCACACCACUGCCCUCUUCUUGUGGAAUUAAUUCUCAAGGGUUAAAUUGCAACAGUCAGAAAUUGGACAUUUCAAAUAUGUUCAUGUAAUGGUUAAUACUUUUUCUAAUAUGAUUGUUGCUUCUUGGCUUCAGGGCUAAAACACUCCUGGGUCUCAUUAGUCAUUUAUUAUACUCUAUUUUCUUUCUAGAACUCUUCUUACAACUGAUAACUGAUAGUGGGUCCUGCUUAUACUAGCAAAAGUUUGAAGGAGUUUUGCAAAUUGUGGAAUAGUGAUUGUAUUACUAGAAUUCUUAUAAUCCACAGGGUAAAGUUAUUCCAGAAUGACACAUUUCAAAUACUUAAAACACAAAAUUUAAAAGUAAAAAUGGGGGUUUAUACAGCCACCUAAAUUCCCACAUACCAUGCUACAUUUAACUAUGCUAACUUUAAUUUUUCACAUUAACUAGUUAAUUAACUUUCAUUUUAUGUGCAUUGGUGUUUUGCCUCAUGUAUGUUUGUGUGAGGAUGUAAGAUCUUGGAGUUACAGACAGCUUUGCCCUGGGGGCGCUGGGAUUUGAGCUUGGCUCCUCUGGAAGAGCAGUCAGUGUCCUUAACUGCUGAGCCAUCUUUCCAGCCCUGGUUUUCUUUACUCUAUAAAGAUAGUGCUGCUUCUGUUGCUCAAAAGCAUUUUCCCUAAAGGAAACAUAGCCUCAAGGAUAUGUUAAAUCCUAAACUCAUCCGUGGAAGGAACCAGAUGCUCUUUAACAUCAGGCUGGGGCUAUGCAUCCCAUCGUUUGAAGGAACAAACCCUGUGCGUUUAAGUUUCCUGGCUCCUCUAGUGCAGUGGUUCUCAACCUGUGGAUUGGGACCCUUUUAUGGGUGCAUCUCAGAUGUCCUGCUUAUCAGAUAUUUACAUGAUGAUUCAUAAUUAGCAAAACUACAGUUUUGGAGUAGCAAUGAAAUAAUCUUAUGGUUGGGAGUCACCACAGCACCAGGAACUGUAUUAAAGGGUUGUGGCAUUAGGAAGGCUGAGAACUGCUAUGAUGAUUUGGGGCUCUUUAGAGCUUCCUCUAAGUUUCAGUUUGCUUUUUCUUUCACUCUCACGUUCUCAAAAUACAGUGCAAUUAUCUAUUGGUUGUUGGAUGAGUGAUAUAGUAAGCAGACCAGAGGCCUCAGGGGCCUUGGUGAUAGUUUAGUAUUUAUGCCCAUUUAUUGG